Molecule: non-coding RNA, 208 nt
Organism: Pelobates cultripes (western spadefoot toad)
Lineage: Eukaryota; Metazoa; Chordata; Amphibia; Anura; Pelobatidae
Source: the annotation of a GenBank genome assembly
AUCAACCCCACCCAUAUGCUGGUUAUAGGCCUUGAUGCACAGUGAUCCAAAGUCCUCUCAGUGUGGAUGGUGGUAAAAAGGUACACAUCCUUCUUGUCUGUGUACAACUGCCAACAGCUCCUCUUGGCGCAGAGCUGAGGUCUCCCCCCUUCGUAGCUGGGUGCGUGCAAGUUGUCCUGGGAAACCUGCGUGGUUCUUUCUGAUUGUA